This 152-nucleotide ribosomal RNA is filed under the name Pseudocercospora eumusae. RNAcentral describes it as "partial 28S ribosomal RNA". Lineage: Eukaryota; Fungi; Ascomycota; Dothideomycetes; Mycosphaerellales; Mycosphaerellaceae. The record is from RNAcentral.
GUUGACCUCGGAUCAGGUAGGGAUACCCGCUGAACUUAAGCAUAUCAAUAAGGCAGAAGAAUGGGGGGGGGGCCCGACCCCCGGAACCUGUGGUUCGGGCGGCGAAAUCCCGGCCGGGUUUAAGUUUGGGGAAUAAAACAAAAUUAGAGGGG